Molecule: long non-coding RNA, 1355 nt
Organism: Helianthus annuus (common sunflower)
Lineage: Eukaryota; Viridiplantae; Streptophyta; Magnoliopsida; Asterales; Asteraceae
Exons: 7
Source: RefSeq, a predicted model, not a curated record
UCCAUUCUAAACCCUAAUUCCCUCGCUCCCCAAUUGUAAAACACUUUCAUCUUCAAAAAUCCACCACCAGAUCUGGUGCAAAAUAACCUUCUGGACGUGGUUAAAGUUUUGUUCGCCAUGAAUCCAUCUCCUAUCUUCAAAGUUCGUGUAAUGGGUCCAUCUAUAUUCUCCCCCGAUUCAUUGAAGUGAACUACGUGAAUUUCCUAAAUCCCCAUGUAGCGGCUCUAAAGGGGAGAUUCUGGCACCCUUGUGGAAAAUAUCCUAAAUCGCUCCUGAUGAAGCGAUUUGUUCAAAUGGUACUGCGGUACCGGAAAAGGGGGAACCGCCUGCCGAGAAACUGUAAAACCUAGAAGUGGUGGCGGGCAACUACACCUCGCCUGUCUUUGUUUAAGACGUUUUACUAGACAUCGAGCCAGGACCAUGGACAGUGUUCGAUCUGGUCCGUACGGUCAGAUCUUCUGGCCGUGUAACUUUGUGUUCGGGCAGUCUGGUGCCGAAAUUGGGCGAAAGGUCAUUAUACGGAAGGAGUAGAGCUUAUUGAUUCUAUUCUUGACGUUGUUCGUAUUGAUUCCAUCUGGUGCUGAAAGAAAGUUUGAUUUUGCCCCUGUUCGUAUUUGAUGGACUGAUAGUUGCAUUAAAAUUGAAUUCAAUCACACAAAGAUCAUGAAGUUUUAGACGCCUUAUGUGUGAAGUAUAAGGAUCACAUGCAUCAAGCGAGUUUUGUUUGUUACUCUUAAGUUUUCUAUGAUCGCGAAGAUAAGGAAGCUUGAUGACUCACUUUUCUUUAAUGUGUUUUCUAAGGCCUACAUACAGGUUGGAAUCUCCAAGUUCUAAACUUUUAGGCAAUAUGUUGAUAAUAUCUGCGGGAGUUUUAUUAACAGGAAGUUGCAUUGUUAACUGAUGGGAAAUUUUCAGGUGGUUCUCAUGGAUAUGUUGUUGGACACAUUUGCCCUGAAGCACAGGAUUCUGUUCCAUGAUGUUAGGUGUGCAAGCUAGUUAUGUGUUGUGAAGGGAUGUGGCUUGACCCGUUCGAAAUAAGGCUUCAAAUGGAGGAGGCUUUACUUUCAUAGUACUAUAUUUAUCCGUUUAGUGUAAAAGAAAACUUUAUGUGGAUUGGUGAAUGUAUCGGAAAUAAGGGAAAGUAGUGCCAAAACAAAAGGAUAGACUUUGGAUUCAUUAUUUGCAAACAUGAAGAAGCAAAGGAUGAAUGUUUUAUCUCAGCAACAACACAUCAAUAAUGUGGGAGAAGAAAUGGACCUGGACAACCAAGGCAUAUGUUUUCUUCUAUAUGGCUAUUGAAGACCUUGAGAGGGAUCCACAUGAAGUAGUUGUUGCAUUAUUUGUAGAUAGCUUAU